GAUGAACGCUGGCGGCGUGCUUAACACAUGCAAGUCGAACGAUGAAGCCCAGCUUGCUGGGUGGAUUAGUGGCGAACGGGUGAGUAACACGUGAGUAACCUGCCCUUAACUCUGGGAUAAGCCUGGGAAACUGGGUCUAAUACCGGAUAGGAGCGCCUACCGCAUGGUGGGUGUUGGAAAGAUUUAUCGGUUUUGGAUGGACUCGCGGCCUAUCAGCUUGUUGGUGAGGUAAUGGCUCACCAAGGCGACGACGGGUAGCCGGCCUGAGAGGGUGACCGGCCACACUGGGCCUGAGACACGGCCCAGACUCCUACGGGAGGCAGCAGUGGGGAAUAUUGCACAAUGGGCGAAAGCCUGAUGCAGCGACGCCGCGUGAGGGAUGACGGCCUUCGGGUUGUAAACCUCUUUCAGUAGGGAAGAAGCGAAAGUGACGGUACCUGCAGAAGAAGCACCGGCUAACUACGUG
Molecule: ribosomal RNA, 466 nt
Filed under: uncultured bacterium
Lineage: Bacteria
Description: partial 16S ribosomal RNA
Rfam family: Bacterial small subunit ribosomal RNA
Source: RNAcentral